GACGUAGGGCGCGAGCGUUGUCCGGAUUUAUUGGGCGUAAAGAGCUCGUAGGCGGUUCGUUAUGUCGGAUGUGAAAGCCCUUGGCUUAACCGAGGAAGUGCAUCCGAAACUGGCGAGCUAGAGUACGAAAGAGGAUCGCGGAAUUCCCGGUGUAGAGGUGAAAUUCGUAGAUAUCAGGAGGAACACCAGUGGCGAAGGCGGCUUUCUGGACGAUAACUGACGCUGAGACGCGAAAGCGUGGGGAGCAAACAGG
This 253-nucleotide ribosomal RNA is filed under the name uncultured bacterium. Its description in RNAcentral is "partial 16S ribosomal RNA". It matches the Rfam family "Bacterial small subunit ribosomal RNA", at positions 524 to 776 of the family's 1533-position model. The record is from RNAcentral.